This 1765-nucleotide ribosomal RNA is filed under the name uncultured Orbales bacterium. RNAcentral describes it as "partial 23S ribosomal RNA". It matches the Rfam family "Bacterial large subunit ribosomal RNA", at positions 1 to 1793 of the family's 2925-position model. Lineage: Bacteria; Pseudomonadati; Pseudomonadota; Gammaproteobacteria; Orbales. The record is from RNAcentral.
UGAAACAUCUAAGUACCCCGAGGUUAAGAAAUUAAGCGUACACGGUGGAUGCCUAGGCAAUCAGAGGCGAAGAAGGACGUGUUAAUCUGCGAAAAGCGACGGUAAGCCGAUAAAAGGCGUUAUAGCCGUUGAUGUCCGAAUGGGGAAACCCAAUGCAUUUUAUGCAUUAUCCUUAACUGAAUAAAUAGGUUAAGGAGGCGAACCGGGAGAACUGAAACAUCUAAGUACCCCGAGGAAAAGAAAUCAACCGAGAUUCCCAAAGUAGCGGCGAGCGAAAUGGGAGGAGCCCAAAGCGGGUAGCAUGAUGUGUUAGUGGAAGCGUCUGGAAAGUCGCACGAUAUAGGGUGAAAGUCCCGUACACGAAGAUGCAUGAUGUGGAAGCUUGAAGAGUAGGGCGGGACACGUGAUAUCCUGUCUGAAUAUGGGGGGACCAUCCUCCAAGGCUAAAUACUCCUGAUUGACCGAUAGUGAACCAGUACCGUGAGGGAAAGGCGAAAAGAACCCCGGGAGGGGAGUGAAAUAGAACCUGAAACCGUGUACGUACAAUCAGUGGGAGCAUCAUUUAUGGUGUGACUGCGUACCUUUUGUAUAAUGGGUCAGCGACUUAUAUUCUGUAGCAAGGUUAACCGAAUAGGGGAGCCGAAGGGAAACCGAGUCUUAACUGGGCGAUUUAGUUGCAGGGUAUAGACCCGAAACCCGGUGAUCUAGCCAUGGGCAGGUUGAAGGUUGGUUAACACUAACUGGAGGACCGAACCGACUAAUGUUGAAAAAUUAGCGGAUGACCUGUGGCUGGGGGUGAAAGGCCAAUCAAACCGGGAGAUAGCUGGUUCUCCCCGAAAGCUAUUUAGGUAGCGCCUCAUGCGUUUACUGUUGGGGGUAGAGCACUGUUUCGGCUAGGGGGCCAUCCCGGCUUACCAACCCGAUGCAAACUCCGAAUACUGACAAGUAUAGCAUGGGAGACACACGGCGGGUGCUAACGUUCGUCGUGAAGAGGGAAACAACCCAGACCGCCAGCUAAGGUCCCAAAGUCAUAGUUAAGUGGGAAACGAAGUGGGAAGGCUUAGACAGCUAGGAUGUUGGCUUAGAAGCAGCCAUCAUUUAAAGAAAGCGUAAUAGCUCACUAGUCGAGUCGGCCUGCGCGGAAGAUGUAACGGGGCUAAAACUAUGCACCGAAGCUGCGGCAGUGUGUGAAUAACAUAUUGGGUAGGGGAGCGUUCUGUAAGCCGUAGAAGGUAUCUUGUGAGGGGUGCUGGAGGUAUCAGAAGUGCGAAUGCUGACAUAAGUAACGAUAAAGCGGGUGAAAAGCCCGCUCGCCGGAAGACCAAGGGUUCCUGUCCAACGUUAAUCGGGGCAGGGUGAGUCGACCCCUAAGGAGAGGCCGAAAGGCGUAUCUAAUGGGAAACGGGUUAAUAUUCCCGUACUGAAUAUAACUGCGAUGGGGGGACGAAGAAGGCUAGGUUUACCACCUAUUGGAUGGUGGGUUAAGCGUGUAGGGGUGUGACUUGGAAAAUCCGGUCACUGUAACUCUGAGGCGUGAUGACGAGGCACUAAGGUGCUGAAGUAAUUGAUGCCCUGCUUCCAGGAAAAGCCUCUAAGCUCUAGGUUAUAUUGAAUCGUACCCGAAACCGACACAGGUGGUCAGGUAGAGAAUACUCAGGCGCUUGAGAGAACUCGGGUGAAGGAACUAGGCAAAAUGGUGCCGUAACUUCGGGAGAAGGCACGCUGAUAUUAAUUGAAGUCCCUAGCGGAUGGAGGUGAAAUCAGU